This is a long non-coding RNA of Triticum aestivum (bread wheat), 975 nucleotides long. RefSeq lists it as uncharacterized. The transcript has 3 exons. NCBI's taxonomy places the organism in Eukaryota, Viridiplantae, Streptophyta, Magnoliopsida, Poales, Poaceae. The record is from RefSeq and is a predicted model, not a curated record.
CUAAAAGCUCGGAGGCGAGCUACUUAUCGGAAGAAAAAAGAGGAUGCCGCCGUCAAGCAUCUACAUGAAAAUCUGCCUGCCCUUGCGAUAUCAGAUGUGCAAAAUGUUCAUAGGCCCGCUCUCGGUGAUAUCACUAAUGGGUAUAAAACAUCCUCUGUGGACCUUGACGAUAAAAGGGAAGAGAUAAAAGCUCGGAGGCGAGCUAUUUAUCGAAAGAAAAAAGAUGAGGCCGCCGUCAAGCAUCUACAUGAAAAUCUGCCUGCCCUUACGGUAUCAGCCAACCCAACUAGGUCGAGCAAUACAUCAUUGUCACAUGAUGAUGCAGUAUUGCCUCCUUCCACUACACUCAGGUGUCUUAACAAACGAGCAAAUUGAGCAGAGAAACGCGUGGAGGCGAGCAAGUUAUCGGAAAAAAGUGGGUGACGGAACGAUCGAUCUUCAACAAAAAAAUCAGAAGCUGCAAGAAUGGCGCAUGCAACACCCUAAAACCAUGACUCUGGAUGAGAGGGGGAGUCAAGUGCAAAGAGAAAGGCAAAGUAUGCUGCAAAGAAAAACACCCCGUGUGCUGAAUCGAUCGCAAUGCCACGUCUAGAUCUAACUAGCACAUUGUCCAACCCUCAUGCACAUUGUCCGACUCUCACGCUUUCAACCCUCGCGCAACAAUACAGUGAACAAAUAGAACAUGCUCCUACUGUCAAUGCUGUCCCCACAUACAUUCGCAACACCGAAACCGAUGGCAGUUAUCCUAUCAACCAUCAUGUUUCAUCAUGUAGGUGCACACCUAAGCAGAUAUUUACAAUGAUUCGAUAAUGUUGUAGGUGCAUACCUAAGCAGAACCUUCGGUGAUGGUGCUAUAGAUGGCGACAUCAUCGAAAUCAAUGAGCACCUACAAAGUGCCGACCAGCAAACCAGUGAUUCGGUAACAAUAGCGGAUAACGGAGUGGACGAGCAGAGUCAUGAGUCCAGAGCUCGGUG